GAUGAACGCUGGCGGCGUGCCUAAUACAUGCAAGUCGAGCGAACGGACGAGAAGCUUGCUUCUCUGAUGUUAGCGGCGGACGGGUGAGUAACACGUGGAUAACCUACCUAUAAUACUGGGAUAACUUCGGGAAACCGGAGCUAAUACCGGAUAAUAUUUUGAACCGCAUGGUUCAAAAGUGGAAGACGGUCUUGCUGUCACUUAUAGAUGGAUCCGCGCUGCAUUAGCUAGUUGGUAAGGUAACGGCUUACCAAGGCAACGAUGCGUAGCCGACCUGAGAGGGUGAUAGGCCACACUGGAACUGAGACACGGUCCAGACUCCUACGGGAGGCAGCAGUAGGGAAUCUUACGCAAUGGGCGAAAGCAUGACGGAGCAACGCGGCGUGAGUGAUGAAGGUCUUCGGAUCGUAAAACUCUGUUAUUAGGGAAGAACAUAUGUGUAAGUAACUGUGCACAUCUUGACGGUACCUAAUCAGAAAGCCACGGCUAACUACGUG
Molecule: ribosomal RNA, 497 nt
Filed under: uncultured bacterium
Lineage: Bacteria
Description: partial 16S ribosomal RNA
Rfam family: Bacterial small subunit ribosomal RNA
Source: RNAcentral